RNAcentral lists this unclassified non-coding RNA (145 nucleotides) under uncultured Helotiaceae. RNAcentral's name for it is "sequence contains ITS2". Lineage: Eukaryota; Fungi; Ascomycota; Leotiomycetes; Helotiales; Helotiaceae. The record is from RNAcentral.
UAACCAAUCCAGCUUGCUGGGUCUUGGGCACCGCCGGCUGGCGGGCCUCAAAAGCAGUGGCGGUACGGCCGGGCUCUAAGCGUAGUAAUACUCCUCGCUACAGACCCCCGGGCGGCACCUGCCAGAACCCCCCCAUUUUUUCAGG